This is a non-coding RNA of Schistosoma rodhaini, 45 nucleotides long. The record is from Rfam. NCBI's taxonomy places the organism in Eukaryota, Metazoa, Platyhelminthes, Trematoda, Strigeidida, Schistosomatidae.
AUCCAGCUAACGAGUCCUAAAUAGGAUGAAACGUGCGUCCUGGAU